CCUACGGGAGGCAGCCGUGAGGAAUAUUGGUCAAUGGACGAGAGUCUGAACCCGCCAAGUAGCGUGAAGGAUGACUGCCCUAUGGGUUGUAAACUUCUUUUAUAUGGGAAUAAAAUGUUCCACGUGUGGGAUUUUGUAUGUACCAUAUGAAUAAGGAUCGGCUAACUCCGUGCGAGCAGCCUCGGUAAUACGGAGUAUCCGAGCGUUAUCCGGAUUUAUUGGGUUUAAAGGGAGCGUAGGUGGAUUUUUAAGUCAGUUGUGAAAGUUUGCGGCUCAACCGUAAAAUUGCAGUUGAAACUGGCAGUCUUGAGUACAGUAGAGGUGGGCGGAAUUCGCGGUGUAGCGGUGAAAUGCUUAGAUAUCACGAAGAACUCCGAUUGCGAAGGCAGUUCACUGGACUGCAACUGACACUGAGGCUCGAAAGUGUGGAUAUCAAACAGGAUUAGAUACCCGAGUAGUC
RNAcentral lists this ribosomal RNA (460 nucleotides) under uncultured bacterium. RNAcentral's name for it is "partial 16S ribosomal RNA". It matches the Rfam family "Bacterial small subunit ribosomal RNA", at positions 338 to 795 of the family's 1533-position model. The record is from RNAcentral.